Long non-coding RNA from Etheostoma cragini (Arkansas darter), 879 nucleotides. RefSeq lists it as uncharacterized. The record is from RefSeq and is a predicted model, not a curated record. NCBI's taxonomy places the organism in Eukaryota, Metazoa, Chordata, Actinopteri, Perciformes, Percidae. The transcript is spliced from 3 exons.
ACCACUUACUGUAUGUGCCGUUUCAAUUUAUGCCACAAAUUGUGUAAUUUUGACACAUAGUACACAAUCCCUUUCAAUUCACUGUCUCUUAAACAUAUAUGCCACCACUGUGACCUGUUUCUCUCACCAUUUUACAGACAAUGACAAAGCCCUCAUUGGUUUUCUGGUCUUCUUCGUCAUCAUUGCUUUUGUGACCUUGGUUCUGGCGGCCUACAAGAUCAACCAUUACAGAAAGUCCAAAAAUGAUGUGAGAGGGGAUGUGAUGCUUAAACCGACAGAAACUGAAGCACUUUAUGUCAAUGUACCUCGAUAUAAAAACCGUCAUAAGGACACACUCUGAAGAAAGACCUGAUGCAAAACAAAUCAUUAUCAAUCAUCAAUACCUUGCUAGACAGAGCUCUAAAAUGUUGUUUUAAGUGCUUUUUUGUUUGUUAGAAAAUACAUACUUUUUUUUCAGUUUUUUAAUGUACACUUUGUGGCACUGUUCUUCACUCAUUCAAAUUGUAAUUUCAGUGGCAUGAGAUGGGGAAAAAAAAAAAAAAAAAAAAAAAAAUGUUACAUACAUUACAAGUUUUAGUUCCCGACCAUAAAGGGGGUUUUGAUCAUCUUGCAAACCAAGCAUGUAGGGCUAAUAGUCGUAAAGCUAUGAAAAGUUUAUCAAACAGUAUCAUUUAAGCUGACUUUAUUUUAAAAUGCACGCUUUGUCAUUUACAGCUUUUAUAUCAUCAUAACCUGCGUUUUAUUGUCCCAUUAAGAUCAUGUCAUAGUGUCCAUUUAUAUUUUUCUGACCAGUUGUACACUUGCCAAACAUCACCCCCUCAGAAAAUAAAGUAAUUGCUGCCUAACAUUCAUACUUCUGGCAACAAAUUCUAUAGGUGA